RNAcentral lists this non-coding RNA (175 nucleotides) under bacterium. RNAcentral's name for it is "6S RNA". It matches the Rfam family "6S / SsrS RNA". From Rfam's summary of the family: E. coli 6S RNA was the first non coding RNA to be sequenced, but its function was unknown until recently. It consists of 184 nucleotides that fold into an extended hairpin structure with a large single-stranded internal bulge. The record is from RNAcentral.
AUCAACCUGCUGUGCGCGUGAUGCUGCGACGUGUUUUGAGCCAACACCCACCUGAAGGGAGCCGCAUCCGGCGGUGCGCGUGAUAGGCCAGAGCCAAGACGCGGCUGACCGGAGAAGCACCCACCUGCGAAAGCAGGUUCAAAUUGCAAUGUUCACACGGCAUAGCGGGCUGUAC